AGAGUUUGAUCAUGGCUCAGAAUCAACGCUGGCGGCGUGCCUAACACAUGCAAGUCGCACGAGAAAGGGGCUUCGGUCCUGAGUAAAGUGGCGCACGGGUGAGUAACACGUGAAUGAUCUACCUCCGAGUGGGGAAUAACUGAGAGAAAUCUUAGCUAAUACCGCAUAACACUUACGAGUCAAAGCAGCAAUGUGCUUGGAGAGGAGUUCGCGGCCGAUUAGUUAGUUGGCGGGGUAAUGGCCCACCAAGACGAUGAUCGGUAUCCGGCCUGAGAGGGCGCACGGACACACUGGAACUGAAACACGGUCCAGACUCCUACGGGAGGCAGCAGUGGGGAAUUUUGCGCAAUGGGGGAAACCCUGACGCAGCAACGCCGCGUGGAGGAUGAAGUAUCUUGGUACGUAAACUCCUUUCGAUGGGGAAGAUAAUGACGGUACCCAUAGAAGAAGCCCCGGCUAACUUCGUGCCAGCAGCCGCGGUAAUACGAGGGGGGCAAGCGUUGUUCGGAAUUAUUGGGCGUAAAGGGUGCGUAGGCGGUUUGAUAAGUCUGAUGUGAAAUCUCUGGGCUCAACCCAGAGUCUGCAUUAGAAACUGUCGGGCUUGAGUAUGGGAGAGGUGAGUGGAAUUUCCGGUGUAGCGGUGAAAUGCGUAGAUAUCGGAAGGAACACCUGUGGCGAAAGCGGCUCACUGGACCAUAACUGACGCUGAGGCACGAAAGCUAGGGGAGCAAACAGGAUUAGAUACCCUAGUAGUCC
Molecule: ribosomal RNA, 756 nt
Filed under: uncultured bacterium
Lineage: Bacteria
Description: bacterial SSU rRNA
Rfam family: Bacterial small subunit ribosomal RNA
Source: RNAcentral